Molecule: small RNA, 518 nt
Filed under: Pongo abelii (Sumatran orangutan)
Lineage: Eukaryota; Metazoa; Chordata; Mammalia; Primates; Hominidae
Description: processed transcript
Source: RNAcentral
AUCAUUCUAAGACACAAGUACAAAAGAAAGAGAACAAAUCUCUAAAAAGAGAUACAAAGGCAAUAAUAGAUACUGGACUUAAAAAAACUACACAGUGCCCCAAACUAGAAGACUCAGAAAAAGAAUAUGUUCUUGAUCCCAAACCACCACCAUUGACUUUGGCACAGAAGUUGGGCCUCAUUGGGCCUCCACCACCUCCACUGUCAUCAGAUGAAUGGGAGAAGGUGAAACAGCGCUCCCUCCUGCAAGGGGACUCCGUGCAGCCAUGCCCCAUCUGUAAAGAAGAAUUCGAGCUUCGUCCUCAGGUGCUGCUUUCAUGCUCCCAUGUGUUCCACAAAAAAGAACCAGUAUCAAACCCGAGUGAUACACGAUGGGGCCCGCCUGUUCAGAAUCAAGUGUGCGACCAGAAUCCAAGCCUACUGGAGAGGAUACGUUGUUAGAAAGUGGUACAGAAACCUGAGGAAAACAGUACCUCCCACAGACGCCAAGUUAAGAAAAAAAUUCUUUGAAAAAAAGGU